ACCCGACUGCUAUCGGAUUGAGAUUUAGCCAUGCGAGUCGAACGUCCCCCUGUUGCGGGGGGCGUGGCGUACGGCUCAGUAACACGUAGUCAACCUGCCCUCGAGACGUGGACAACCCCGGGAAACUGGGAUUAAUUCCAUGAUGGGCCAUCUCAUCUGGAAGGAGAGAUGACUUAAAGGGGUGUGCGAGCUUCUUUCGUGCAUCUGCUCGAGGAUGGGACUGCGUCCGAUCAGGCUGUUGGCGGGGUAAUGGCCCACCAAACCUGUUACCGGUACGGGCCUUGAGAGAGGGGGCCCGGAGAUGGACACUGAGAGAAGGGUCCAGGUCCUACGGGGCGCAGCAGGCGCGAAACCUUCGCAAUGCGCGAAAGCGUGACGAGGUUAAUCCGAGUGGUCCCCGCCGAGGGGAUCUUUUGCCGGCUGUAAAAAGGCCGGUGAAUAAGGGGAGGGCAAGUCUGGUGUCAGCCGCCGCGGUAAUACCAGCUCCUCGAGUGGUCGGGGCGAUUAUUGGGCCUAAAGCAUCCGUAGCCUGUUCUGUAGGUCUUCUGUUAAAUCCAACAGCUUAACUGUUGACCUGCAGAGGAUACCGCGGGACUAGGAGGCGGGAGAGGCGGACGGUACUCCGCGUGUAGGGGUAAAAUCCUUUGAUCCGCGGAAGACCACCAGUGGCGAAAGGCGGUUCGCCAGAACGCGCUCGACGGUGAGGGAUGAAAGCUGGGGGAGCGAACCGGAUUAGGUACCCGGGUAGUCCCAGCCGUAACGAUGCUGGCUAGAUGAUUCAUUCGCAAGUCGCGAAUGAAGUGUCGCAGGAAGCCGUUAAGCUAGCCGCCUGGGGAGUACGGUCGCGAGACUGAAACUUAA
RNAcentral lists this ribosomal RNA (861 nucleotides) under uncultured soil archaeon. Its description in RNAcentral is "bacterial SSU rRNA". It matches the Rfam family "Archaeal small subunit ribosomal RNA", at positions 21 to 859 of the family's 1478-position model. The record is from RNAcentral.